GAGACACCCUUAUGGGGCAGGACUUGCUUCAGUGGGGCUUUGGUGCUCACUGAGUCUACCCCCUGAGUGUGUCUCU
Molecule: non-coding RNA, 76 nt
Organism: Myotis brandtii (Brandt's bat)
Lineage: Eukaryota; Metazoa; Chordata; Mammalia; Chiroptera; Vespertilionidae
Source: Rfam